This 253-nucleotide ribosomal RNA is filed under the name uncultured bacterium. Its description in RNAcentral is "partial 16S ribosomal RNA". It matches the Rfam family "Bacterial small subunit ribosomal RNA", at positions 524 to 776 of the family's 1533-position model. The record is from RNAcentral.
UACAGAGGUCCCAAGCGUUGUUCGGAUUCAUUGGGCGUAAAGGGUGCGUAGGCGGCGCGGUAAGUCAGGUGUGAAAUCUCGGAGCUUAACUCCGAAACUGCAUUCGAUACUGCCGUGCUUGAGGACUGGAGAGGAGACUGGAAUUUACGGUGUAGCGGUGAAAUGCGUAGAUAUCGUAAGGAAGACCAGUGGCGAAGGCGGGUCUCUGGACAGUUCCUGACGCUGAGGCACGAAGGUCAGGGGAGCAAACGGG